This 157-nucleotide small RNA is filed under the name Kosakonia sp. CCTCC M2018092. Its description in RNAcentral is "RtT sRNA". It matches the Rfam family "RtT RNA". Rfam says of the family: This family represents a bacterial cis-regulatory element known as RtT RNA. The exact function of RtT is unknown although it is thought that it may be involved in changing the cellular response in relation to amino acid starvation. Lineage: Bacteria; Pseudomonadati; Pseudomonadota; Gammaproteobacteria; Enterobacterales; Enterobacteriaceae. The record is from RNAcentral.
AUAUUCUCCAUUCGGGGAAGGAUGAAAAGCUUCGACUAAGGUUCGACUCGAGCGUAGCGAGAGAGCGUAGCGAGAGAGCGUUGCGAGAGAGCGUUGCCGCAGGCAACGACCCGAAGGGCGAGGAGCAUAGCGACGAGUAAUCCUUUCCCCUGCUUAU